AUUGAACGCUGGCGGCAUGCCUUACACAUGCAAGUCGAACGGUAACAGGUUAAGCUGACGAGUGGCGAACGGGUGAGUAAUGUAUCGGAACGUGCCCAGUCGUGGGGGAUAACUACUUGAAAGAGUGGCUAAUACCGCAUACGACCUGAGGGUGAAAGCGGGGGAUCGCAAGACCUCGCGCGAUUGGAGCGGCCGAUAUCAGAUUAGCUAGUUGGUGAGGUAAAGGCUCACCAAGGCGACGAUCUGUAGCUGGUCUGAGAGGACGACCAGCCACACUGGGACUGAGACACGGCCCAGACUCCUACGGGAGGCAGCAGUGGGGAAUUUUGGACAAUGGGCGCAAGCCUGAUCCAGCCAUGCCGCGUGUGGGAAGAAGGCCUUCGGGUUGUAAACCACUUUUGUCGGGGAAGAAACGGUUUGGGCUAAUACCCUGAGCUAAUGACGGUACCCGAAGAAUAAGCACCGGCUAACUACGUGCCAGCAGCCGCCGCCG
Molecule: ribosomal RNA, 493 nt
Filed under: uncultured bacterium
Lineage: Bacteria
Description: partial 16S ribosomal RNA
Rfam family: Bacterial small subunit ribosomal RNA
Source: RNAcentral